RNAcentral lists this unclassified non-coding RNA (316 nucleotides) under Hevea brasiliensis (rubber tree). The record is from RNAcentral. Lineage: Eukaryota; Viridiplantae; Streptophyta; Magnoliopsida; Malpighiales; Euphorbiaceae.
GUUAACCUCAGACACUGCAGCAGAACCAGAAGUCAAUGAAUCCAUUUCAAAAACUGAUGCUGGAGAUGUGUGUGAAGUAUGUGAGACCAAACUCUGAGCAGAGUCAUCCUCCUCUGAUACACAACCAGCAUUGUUGACCUUUCGAUGAUUCUUGUUGUUGCAUUCAUUAUUCGAGCUCUUCUCAGACACAUCAGUAUUCGAAUUACUCUUAGCCAUCGCUUCGAAUUCAAGCCUUUUCAUUUCAUAAGCAUGAGAAGCUUCUUCAGCAGUAUUAUAAGUACCAAGCCAGACCCUCCUAGAUUUAAAAGGAUCCCUA